UGGGGAAUAUUGGGCAAUGGGCGCAAGCCUGACCCAGCAACGCCGCGUGAGGGAAGAAGGUUUUCGGAUUGUAAACCUCUGUCGCAGAAGACGAAGGAAGUGACGGUAAUCUGUGAGGAAGCCCCGGCUAACUACGUGCCAGCAGCCGCGGUAAUACGUAGGGGGCGAGCGUUGUCCGGAAUGAUUGGGCGUAAAGGGCGCGUAGGCGGCCUGGUAAGUCCGGAGUGAAAGUCCUGCUUUUAAGGUGGGAAUUGCUUUGGAUACUGCUGGGCUUGAGUGCAGGAGAGGAAAGCGGAAUUACCGGUGUAGCGGUGAAAUGCGUAGAGAUCGGUAGGAACACCAGUGGCGAAGGCGGCUUUCUGGACUGAAACUGACGCUGAGGCGCGAAAGCGUGGGGAGCAAACAGGAUUAGAUACCCUGGUAGU
This 425-nucleotide ribosomal RNA is filed under the name uncultured bacterium. RNAcentral describes it as "bacterial SSU rRNA". It matches the Rfam family "Bacterial small subunit ribosomal RNA", at positions 355 to 794 of the family's 1533-position model. The record is from RNAcentral.